Molecule: ribosomal RNA, 610 nt
Filed under: Dujonia oleophila
Lineage: Eukaryota; Fungi; Ascomycota; Pichiomycetes; Serinales; Debaryomycetaceae
Description: eukaryotic LSU rRNA
Rfam family: Eukaryotic large subunit ribosomal RNA
Source: RNAcentral
CCACGGAUGCUUAGUACGGCGAGUGAAGCGGCAAAAGCUCAAAUUUGAAAUCUAGCACUUUCAGUGUUCGAGUUGUAAUUUGAAGAAGGUAACUUUGCCAUUGCCUCUUGACUUUCAUCCUUGGAACAGGACGUCACAGAGGGUGAGAAUCCCGUGCGAUGAGAUGUCCAAUUCUAUGUAAAGUGCUUUCGAAGAGUCGAGUUGUUUGGGAAUGCAGCUCUAAGUGGGUGGUAAAUUCCAUCUAAAGCUAAAUAUUGGCGAGAGACCGAUAGCGAACAAGUACAGUGAUGGAAAGAUGAAAAGAACUUUGAAAAGAGAGUGAAAAAGUACGUGAAAUUGUUGAAAGGGAAGGGCUUGAGAUCAGACUUGGUAUUUUGUGUUCCUUAUUCUUUUUGGAUUUGGUUCCUCACAGCUUACCGGGCCAGCAUCGGUUUGGAUGGUAGGAUAAUGACAUUGGAAUGUAGCUUUGCUUCGGUGAAGUGUUAUAGACUUUGUUGAUACUGCCUAUCUAGACCGAGGACUGCGUCUUUGACUAGGAUGCUGGCGUAAUGAUCUUAAGCCGCCCGCUGAAAAAGGGGGCCAAAAAAAAAAACCGAUAAAAAUGCAUAGC